RNAcentral lists this ribosomal RNA (468 nucleotides) under uncultured bacterium. Its description in RNAcentral is "partial 16S ribosomal RNA". It matches the Rfam family "Bacterial small subunit ribosomal RNA", at positions 28 to 507 of the family's 1533-position model. The record is from RNAcentral.
GACGAACGCUGGCGGCGUGCUUAACACAUGCAAGUCGAACGGAAAGGCCCUGCUUUUGUGGGGUGCUCGAGUGGCGAACGGGUGAGUAACACGUGUGUAACCUGCCCUUGUCUUUGGGAUAACUUCAGGAAACUGGGGCUAAUACCGGAUAGGAGCUCCUGCUGCAUGGUGGGGGUUGGAAAGUUUCGGCGGUUGGGGAUGGACUCGCGGCUUAUCAGCUUGUUGGUGGGGUAGUGGCUUACCAAGGCUUUGACGGGUAGCCGGCCUGAGAGGGUGACCGGGCUCAUUGGGACUAAGAGACGCACCAGACUCCUACGGGAGGCAGCAGUGGGGAAUAUUGCACAGUGAGCGGGAGCCUGUGGCGGCAACGCCGCGUGCGGGAUGACGUCCUUCGGGUUGUGAACAGCUUUCGCCUGUGACGAAGCGUGAGUGACGGUAAUGAAUAAAGAAGCACCGGCUAACUACGUG